CAAGAUGGCCGCCGCCACCGCUGAGGGGAGCGGCGCGGCACGCUGAGGGGAGGGCAGGCUGCCGGCGGCGGCCCUGGAGAGCGGCGGCGCCAUGGGGGGUCGGGACGACAGCGACAGCGACGAGACCGUGGUGGAGGGCUCUGUAACGGAGAGCGAUGUGGAGGAAGAAGAGUUCCGUAGGAGGAGGUUGCUUUUUCUUGAGGAGGACGUGGCCUUAACAACUGGAGUAGGAAUUAAUGAAGGAGCUCCCUCUCCAGAAAUCUGUUAUAUACAGAAAUUUUUUGAUCACACAUAUAAUCAGAAGGAAGAACAGAUAAAAGAUACAGAAAUGGUAGCUCAAGAGGCAUGCACGUCUGACCAGUCUCAGUCUCUACUGCAGGGUUGGAUUAACUUUCCAUCACUUCCUGAAAAUAUUUCUAAGCCUGGUUUUGCACUAAAUGCUGCAGUAGAGGGACAACAAAAUAAUUCUGUAGGUAUGUUGUAUUUUGUACAAAACUGAAAGUUGCUUUAGCUGUGGCAAAUUCAUUUGAGAAGCUGAAGAUGAGUAACUGCAUAGGUUUAUUUAGACUCUGACUGUAUGUGACCUUUACAAUAGCUGUUUAGUUUUCAUAGUGGUUUUGGACUACAAGUUACAUUUUUGUAAGCAUUCUGUUAGCACUGACUGAAAAAAAUAACUGUUUUCCUAAGCCAGUUCUGUUUCCAGCUUAAAGUUAUUUCAUUGCCGUGGAAUUUUCUGACAAAAGUUACAGGCCACAUAGUACUGAAGUGCCAUGUGGAUGUGUAAGGUAAGCAUGGGUAUAACAGUCAUGGAUAGUUCCUACACACUUCUUACUAACAUAUCCAACAAUCAAAGACAUCUGUAAGAAAGAAGAAACAAAAAUGCUACUGGUCGUUUCCCAGAUCCGUCUGUCACUGGCUGCUGCUUCUGUUGUACUGCCCUUCCUCCGUGCUUCCAGCAGUGCAGGCCUGUCCCAUCUUUUGAGCUAAUUUUUACCAACCCAAUAAAAUCCAUUCACUUUAUUUCUUAUUAGGAAGU
RNAcentral lists this long non-coding RNA (1036 nucleotides) under Calidris pugnax (ruff). RNAcentral describes it as "lncRNA (ENSCPUG00000013514.1)". The record is from RNAcentral. Lineage: Eukaryota; Metazoa; Chordata; Aves; Charadriiformes; Scolopacidae.